AGUACAAUGCUCCGGAUACCAUCUACUUUCGGCAAAGUUAAAAAGGACUUGUCUAUGGCAUUCCCUUAUAUGCACAUUGGAAACAAGGAGUUCCAUUGGUGUUCAUUUGGUAGAGCUGAAAGGUACAGGAGAAUUAUUUGCAAUGAAAGCAAUGGAUAAAGAUGUGAUGUUGAAUCGUAAUAAGGUUUAUUAAUUUAAGAAACAUGCCUGUUUUGCUUACUCUCUUUUCUUCUUUUCUUCUAUCUUGUUUCAUUUUCUAUAAAAACAAAUUAAUAUCUUGUGUUGAGAUAACUUGGCUGCAAGUUAUCUAUUUCUUGUUACUCUGACGUUGUUGCAAACCUAUUGGGCUUUCCUUCGAAAAUUUGGUUUCUAUUGCUUGAUAGGUUUUGUCUUGUUCCUACCCUUUCAUGUUGCAGUUUUCGCUUUGUUAUAGAUUAGACUUUGAUAUUUCAUCCGUUCAUUCUCACUCUCUGUGUUUUUCUGUCUUAUGUCUAAAAUCUGUACAUACUUGAAUUUGAAAUCUCACAUAUGUGAUAAGUAUCACAAGGCGGGGUAUUUCAUCUCCCAAAAUGUUGCUUGUAUUUUAAGACUUUAAAGAUGAUGUUUGGUUUUUCCUAAUCUUGUGGGCAUUCAACAUUGCAUGUUGUUAAUCACUUAGGCCUCGUUCUUGGAUUUGAGAGACAUGAACUUUAUAUUUUAUGUUACUUAAGUGUAGCCUCUCUAGUAAGUUGCACCUUAUGAAACUUAAUAUGUGAUACCUCAUCUCUUUAAUGAAGUUGGGAAACCUUCACAAAUCCUACGUUACUCCGACACCCUAUUCAACCUCGCGUGUCGCGUGUCGACUCGACAUGACGCGCGACACGCCUGGAAAUGGGCGUCGAUACUCGUAUCGGAAAAGUGUCGGAAAUUGGACACCCAUUUGACAAAACUAAGAAAGAAACACAGAGAAAAGGGUGAAAAAUUACCUACUUUGUUGAAAUUGUAAACCCUAGAUCUGCUAAUUGAGGUCGAAUUACACGAAAUUUUCUCAUAAUUUGUUAGGGCUUUUACUCAGAAGAUCAAGUCGUGAUGGGCUAAUCAAAGAAGAACGUUUCGCACUUUGCACUUUCGCAGGCUGCCAUUGUUGCACAGUGAGAACUGAGAAGAGAAAGAAGAACGAAGGGUGGUAGAGAAAAAAGAGACUGAAAAUUGAAAUAAAAUACUCACGUGGAUUGUUAGCUUUAUACCACCCCUCUUUCUUUUCUUUUCUUUUUUUUUACUUUUUUACUGCCUUUACUAUUCCCUUUUGACUUUUCAACACUUUUGACUUUUCAACUCUUUUGACUUUUCAACUUCCAAUAUAUUUUUUUCUUUUUUCAAAUCAAAGACCAAGUAAACACAUUAUAGUACUAGUUCUUUUCUUUAUAAUUUUCUAAAUAUAUUAGUAUUGAUUUUAUUUUUAUUAAAAUAAAGUUUCGGAAAUUUUUUCCGACACUUUCAAUCAUUGACGUGUCUAGAAUAUUGGUCAAGACACUCUAUUGACCGUGUCGGAGUAUCGGCCUAAUUUUCGGAGUAGGGUGUCGGAUCCUCCGACCCCUACUUGGAUACGACACCCGUAUCCGUGUCGGAGUAACAUAGCACAAAUCACAAUAGCUGGUAGGAAACAGGUCAGAUUUUGGAUGUCUUUGUCCAGAAUAGCUUUGGGCCAACAUCUUAUUAUGUGGAGUGGUGGAAGCAUUAAGGUUUCCACAUCUUUAAGAGUCUGUUUCUUUGUGCAGUGUGCAAGCUGCAUAUUGGAGUUGGUAGUAUGGUUUAGACAUGUAUGAAGUCUUAGUUCUAAUCAGCAUCAUGGUCCGCGUCUUUAUGUUUCCUUAUUGAACUUUCAGAGACUCCAAAUUGUUGGCAGAUGUGUGUGUGUGCGCGUAUGUGAUACAUCUUUGCUUGAAUCUGUCCAGGAGGAGACAAAAUCAUGGAAAAAGUUGAUCACCAUCGCGGUUUCAGGAUCAACUAGGAUGGUAUCAAACCAUCUGUUGUUUAAAACAAUGUGGACAAACUUCGAGGCUUUAUCAAGCACGUGUAUGUGGGUAGGAGAUACAGUGGUGAAGAAGGCAGCAGACAGACCUCCAUGCAGAAAAUUGGUUAGAUGCUCUAAAUUGUAUACUUCUUAGGGUGACAAAGGAGAACUAAAUGAAAAUAGGAGAUCGGAUGCAUAUCAGAGUGGCUGUCUAAGCCCACCACUUUUUCUUAAUUUGCGUACGUAUUCAUACUUGAUUUAAACGCUCCAUUGAUCUAUUUCCUAGCCUAUUUACAUCCUCUUGCUAGGCCUUCACCAGCAUCCGUGAACUAAUGGCAACAAGCUUCUUGAUACAAAUCAUAGCAACUGCAUCAAUUUCCAGAAAUAGGGUGCUGCAGUGGAGCCUAAUAUCCAUCUUACGGGAAUAGGCUACAUCUCUGUUUUAAAAAGACUUCAAAGACACGUGGGAGCCCUACAAGUUAACAAGUUCUAAAUCAAAGUUGUUAACUUAACUAUUAGAAUUACGCUUCAUUUCACUUUUUAAUGUAUUAUGUUUCUAAAUGAAUUUAUCGUGUAA
Beta vulgaris subsp. vulgaris (sugar beet) is the source of this 2570-nucleotide long non-coding RNA. RefSeq lists it as uncharacterized. The record is from RefSeq and is a predicted model, not a curated record. NCBI's taxonomy places the organism in Eukaryota, Viridiplantae, Streptophyta, Magnoliopsida, Caryophyllales, Amaranthaceae. The transcript has 4 exons.